ACGCUGGCGGCGUGCCUAAUACAUGCAAGUCGAACGCACAGCGAAAGGUGCUUGCACCUUUCAAGUGAGUGGCGAACGGGUGAGUAACACGUGGACAACCUGCCUCAAGGCUGGGGAUAACAUUUGGAAACAGAUGCUAAUACCGAAUAAAACUUAGUGUCGCAUGACACAAAGUUAAAAGGCGCUUCGGCGUCACCUAGAGAUGGAUCCGCGGUGCAUUAGUUAGUUGGUGGGGUAAAGGCCUACCAAGACAAUGAUGCAUAGCCGAGUUGAGAGACUGAUCGGCCACAUUGGGACUGAGACACGGCCCAAACUCCUACGGGAGGCUGCAGUAGGGAAUCUUCCACAAUGGGCGAAAGCCUGAUGGAGCAACGCCGCGUGUGUGAUGAAGGCUUUCGGGUCGUAAAGCACUGUUGUAUGGGAAGAACAGCUAGAAUAGGAAAUGAUUUUAGUUUGACGGUACCAUACCAGAAAGGGACGGCUAAAUACGUGCCAGCAGCCGCGGUAAUACGUAUGUCCCGAGCGUUAUCCGGAUUUAUUGGGCGUAAAGCGAGCGCAGACGGUUUAUUAAGUCUGAUGUGAAAGCCCGGAGCUCAACUCCGGAAUGGCAUUGGAAACUGGUUAACUUGAGUGCAGUAGAGGUAAGUGGAACUCCAUGUGUAGCGGUGGAAUGCGUAGAUAUAUGGAAGAACACCAGUGGCGAAGGCGGCUUACUGGACUGCAACUGACGUUGAGGCUCGAAAGUGUGGGUAGCAAAC
Molecule: ribosomal RNA, 758 nt
Filed under: uncultured bacterium
Lineage: Bacteria
Description: bacterial SSU rRNA
Rfam family: Bacterial small subunit ribosomal RNA
Source: RNAcentral